UACGGAGGGCGCGAGCGUUACCCGGAUUUACUGGGCGUAAAGGGCGUGUAGGCGGCUUGGGGCGUCCCAUGUGAAAGGCCACGGCUCAACCGUGGAGGAGCGUGGGAUACGCUCAGGCUAGACGGUGGGAGAGGGUGGUUGAAUUCCCGGAGUAGCGGUGAAAUGCGCAGAUACCGGGAGGAACGCCGAUGGCCAAGGCAUACACCUGGCUCACUUGUGACGAUGUGGCGUGAAAGCGUGGGGAGCAAACCGG
This 253-nucleotide ribosomal RNA is filed under the name uncultured bacterium. RNAcentral's name for it is "partial 16S ribosomal RNA". It matches the Rfam family "Bacterial small subunit ribosomal RNA", at positions 524 to 776 of the family's 1533-position model. The record is from RNAcentral.